CCGGUACCUCAGAUGGAAAUGCAGAAAUCACCGUCUUCUGCGUCGCUCACGCUGGGAGCUGUAGACCGGAGCUCGAGAACUACUUUUUAAUGAGGGCUUGGGAUUAGCCAUUGCCAUAGAAUGGAGUGAAUAACAGAGAAGAGAAACUGUGACUAAUUUAAGAGUGAUAAUCAUACAAUUGCAAUUUGGAGAAGAUUGACCUGAAAGAACUGCAGAGGAAGCAUGCUCUUUGUGAAGAAGAAGGGAGCAGAGAUGAAGUCUUCCUCUCCUACUGCCUCUGGGCAGAGGUGAAGAACUUUUGAAGGCAUGCACCAUGGGGUUAUGAGACCCACUCAGCUAGACAUAUGUUUUGGAAGAUAUGUGU
Molecule: long non-coding RNA, 364 nt
Filed under: Homo sapiens (human)
Lineage: Eukaryota; Metazoa; Chordata; Mammalia; Primates; Hominidae
Description: HSALNT0199236
Source: RNAcentral